GUGUGUGUGGAUGGUGUUCAGCACCAGGGACAGGUAUGUUUCAUUGUGUGGAUGGCAUUCAGCACCAGGGACAGGCAUGUUCACCU
Molecule: microRNA precursor, 86 nt
Filed under: Branchiostoma floridae (Florida lancelet)
Lineage: Eukaryota; Metazoa; Chordata; Leptocardii; Amphioxiformes; Branchiostomatidae
Description: mir-2060 microRNA precursor family
Rfam family: mir-2060 microRNA precursor family
Source: Rfam by way of RNAcentral